UUGAACGCUGGCGGCAUGCUUUACACAUGCAAGUCGAACGGUAACAGGUUAAGCUGACGAGUGGCGAACGGGUGAGUAAUGCAUCGGAACGUGCCCGAUCGUGGGGGAUAACGCAGCGAAAGCUGCGCUAAUACCGCAUACGACCUGAGGGUGAAAGGGGGGGAUCGCAAGACCUCUCGCGUUUGGAGCGGCCGAUAUCGGAUUAGCUAGUUGGUGAGGUAAAGGCUCACCAAGGCGACGAUCCGUAGCUGGUCUGAGAGGACGACCAGCCACACUGGAACUGAGACACGGCCCAGACUCCUACGGGAGGCAGCAGUGGGGAAUUUUGGACAAUGGGCGCAAGCCUGAUCCAGCCAUGCCGCGUGAGUGAAGAAGGCCUUCGGGUUGUAAAGCUCUUUCAGACGGAAAGAAAUCGGGCGCGUGAAUAGCGUGCCUGGAUGACGGUACUGUCAGAAGAAGCACCGGCUAACUACGU
RNAcentral lists this ribosomal RNA (475 nucleotides) under uncultured bacterium. RNAcentral describes it as "bacterial SSU rRNA". It matches the Rfam family "Bacterial small subunit ribosomal RNA", at positions 30 to 506 of the family's 1533-position model. The record is from RNAcentral.